AGUGAACGCUGGCGGUAGGCCUAACACAUGCAAGUCGAACGGCAGCACAGUAAGAGCUUGCUCUUACGGGUGGCGAGUGGCGGACGGGUGAGGAAUACAUCGGAAUCUACUUUUUCGUGGGGGAUAACGUAGGGAAACUUACGCUAAUACCGCAUACGACCUACGGGUGAAAGCAGGGGAUCUUCGGACCUUGCGCGAUUGAAUGAGCCGAUGUCGGAUUAGCUAGUUGGCGGGGUAAAGGCCCACCAAGGCGACGAUCCGUAGCUGGUCUGAGAGGAUGAUCAGCCACACUGGAACUGAGACACGGUCCAGACUCCUACGGGAGGCAGCAGUGGGGAAUAUUGGACAAUGGGCGCAAGCCUGAUCCAGCCAUACCGCGUGGGUGAAGAAGGCCUUCGGGUUGUAAAGCCCUUUUGUUGGGAAAGAAAAGCAGCAGGUUAAUACCCCGCUGUUCUGACGGUACCCAAAGGAUAAGCACCGGUUAACUUCGUG
This 492-nucleotide ribosomal RNA is filed under the name uncultured bacterium. Its description in RNAcentral is "partial 16S ribosomal RNA". It matches the Rfam family "Bacterial small subunit ribosomal RNA", at positions 29 to 507 of the family's 1533-position model. The record is from RNAcentral.